Molecule: long non-coding RNA, 2051 nt
Filed under: Homo sapiens (human)
Lineage: Eukaryota; Metazoa; Chordata; Mammalia; Primates; Hominidae
Description: HSALNT0316942
Source: RNAcentral
CAGGCGCCAGCCACCAUGCCCGGCUAGUUUUUGUGUUUUUAGUAGAGACGGGAUUUCACCAUGUUGCCCAGGCUGGUCUCAAACUCCUGAUCUCAGGAUGUCUCUCCUCCUCUAUUCUGCCUACCCAUCAUUCAAGGCCUAGCUGAAGCUCUGCCUCCUCCUUGAAGCCUUCAUUCUUCAUCAGGUCCACGGGGUGCCAUCUCUGCCAUCACGGCCUGGGGCCCCAUUAUGGCCCGGAUGCCCUGGGAUGCCCGCCAUCCAACCUGUGCAGGCCCCCUUGGGCAGGGGAAGCAGGACUCCGGGCCCUUGAGUCGUGGUUUCCUGGUCAUGACCGGGCAGAGCUAAUAGCAGUAGAACAGCUCCCAGCAACAGCAUCCUGAGCCCUGGAAUCCACAUGUGCACUGUCAGCCAUGGAGAGACAGACCCCACACACACACCCAGUUGGGACCUACAAAGGACUCCGUCCAUCUCAGCAGAGUCUACUUCUAGGAGCUGCUUUCUAAGUAUUCAACUUUUCCAGGAAGACUUUUCUGAAUAUUGCAGCCCACCUUGAUCUCUUUCUGCCCUGAAAUCUGUAAUACUUAGCAUUAUUCCCUGUGUGUAGUCUCCUUUCCUCACCAAGAUUAUGAAUUCAGUGAUUGCACAGAUGACACUCCUCUAAUUUUCCCAUGUCUGAGCACAGGACCAAGCACAGGGAAAGCUCCAAGAGUCGACUUGCCAAGAAUCCAUCCUUGGGUUUCCCAAGUACGAUGACACAGAUUGCUCCAUUCAAUGCUAACCAGCUUCUCUCCUCUGGCUCCUUUCUUCUUUUUCUUUCCCCCCUUCUCUCUCAUUUUCUGUGUCUAUUCCUCCUUCUUACUCUCUCAUUCUCUUUCUUCCUCUACCCCUCUCCUGGGGCACAUGUUUGACUAUUGGGUAUAUUACAUUUGCACACAUGCACACACACAAACACACACAGAGAAAAAGAGAGAGAGAGGGAGGGAGAGACUCACCUUGUGUUAAGCAGACAACGAGAGACACAUCAUCCCAUGAACAUAUCCCCUGGCCCUUUGUUUGCCUGAGCCAUCUUUAGCUGCCCCUCCUCCCCUGUCUAAUCUCUAUUCAGCUUUCAGGACCCAGUUUGGAUGUCAUCUGUUUCAAGAAGUCCUCCUUGUUCUCCAUCUCACUCCUUGGCUGGUUCUUUCCCCUCUGUGUUUCUCCAGUGCCCUGGUAAUAUGGUUUGGGUCUGUGUCCCCACCCAAAUAGCACGUCGACAUGUGUUGGAGAAGGGGCCUGGUAGGAGGUGACUGAAUCAUGGAGGCAGACUUAUCCCUUGCUGUUCUCAUGAUAGUAGGUGAAUUCUCACAAGAUCUGGUUGAAAGUGUGUAGCACUUCCCCUAUAUUCUCUCUCUCUCUCUUUCUCUCUCUCUCUCCUGCUGCUGUGUGAUGUGCUUGCUUCCCCUUCGCUCUUUCUUCCACCAUGAUUGUAAGUUUUCUGAGGCCUCCCCAGCCAUGCUUCCUGUACAGCCUGUGGAACUGUGAGUCAAUUAAACCUCUUUUCUUUAUAAAUUACCCAGUCUCAAGUAGUUUUUUACAGCAGUGUGAGAAUGGAUUUAUACACCUGGCUUAGCUCUAUCAUUGCACUCUGCUGUAAUUUCUGUUUUGCUCACCCAUUUCUCCAUUAAACAGCAAGUACCAGGGGACAAAGACUAACACACUAAUAGCAGAGUAGGGACUAAAUAAGCACUUUUAUAAUGAGGAAAAGAAAUCAUGAGAGAGCCAGAGAAAGGAAGGGAAGGAGGAAGGAAAAGAAGAAAGGAAGAUAAAAAGGAAGAGUGGAAGAGGGAAGGAAGGAGGGAGGGGGAAUGUAUUUGAAAUAUGUAUUCUGGAGCCCUAGCAAAGAGCUCAAGUGGCACAGGUAGUCAAAAGCCUCCCUGUCUCAAAAUCAUUCUUUGAUAUCCCCCUCCCAGAAAAGGGCCCAAUACAGGUAUAGGGACUUUUAUCCCCUCUCAGAUUCUGCCUCCGAUCUUAGGGGGAUCUUAGGCCUCCACCUCAGAUUGCUGAGGUCUUAG